Molecule: small nuclear RNA, 125 nt
Organism: Gracilinanus agilis (Agile Gracile Mouse Opossum)
Lineage: Eukaryota; Metazoa; Chordata; Mammalia; Didelphimorphia; Didelphidae
Source: RefSeq, a predicted model, not a curated record
GUAUUAUAUGAAAGGAAUGAGGGAUAACCCUCUAGAUAACAAUGGAAAAAGAUCUAGUAGCCUUCAUCUCAUAUAUGUGGUUAAGAUAUUGCUAUCUACUCUUAGUCAUUUAACCAUGUUUUCCU